GCGGGGAGCAAAUAAUUGCCAGAGAUAAAAUGGGGCCAGAGGAUGGCUGAUGCUGCUGAUAGGAAAGGCCAGAGGAAGAUUAUAUAGUUGGAAACACUCGGAGACGCGUCCUCUGUGUAAUUAGAAAGAGGACCUAGCAUACAGACUGAUGGCAACCUGGCCCUGCUUAGCCUGUGAUAUCUGUCAGGAUCGCGGUGCUGGGAGGCGUGACUGACGUGCUGAUUCUUUCGGUAUUACCAUCGGGAAUCCCAGCACCCUGGAACAAGGGAGUAGGAGAUGUUAAACAGAUGGGAGACUUUGCAAAUACACCGUAACUGCCGGCGUGGGAAUAUCAAGCAGCCAUGCAGUGAGGAUUCUGUAUGAUAUUUUUCUGUAGCGUGGUUAAAUAUCCAGCUAUAUCUAAAUCUUCUCGAGCUAAUAUGUUAAGCCUCCUUCCUAACCCCCUAACGUACAGAAUGAGGACAGUGGAGAAGGAGCAAUUAAAGACAAGACAAAAAUGCCUACUUGUCAAAGAAAGGGUUCAAUACUUUGUUUCUUUGCUGAAGGGGAAAAAGAAAAGAAAAAAAAAACAAAUGGAUAUAAGCUCAGGUAGUAACUUUAAAUUAGCUUAGCUUGCUGAUGCCUUAAGACUGGGGAUUAGUGAAUUUAAUUAUGGGAGCCAGGAAACGCAUUAAGAUAACGUUGGGCCUUAAACUAAAACCCACAAAGCAAUGAAAUUAAAGUUGGUUUGUGUUCCAUCUUCAUAACGUCCCCUUCUUGCUGUGCAGCAGCACAGGAGGCCUCCCCACCCGGCUGGGUGCUCAGCGUCUGCCUCGGAGGACGGCUUGUGAGUGACCGAGCGCCCUGCAGGAGCCUUUUGCAGUCUGGGAACGGCCUGCUCUAGUGUCAGAGCUGUGUGUGAGCUAAAAUGUCUCAGGUAGGGUCGGUGUCGCCCUGUUCCUGUCCGGGUGCCCAUCUUGGCCGAGGUUCCACCCGAACCGUUCGCAUCAGGCUGGGCGGCUGCAGUGAGGAGCGUUGGGUGUAGGGGUGAGAUGCAGGCAGUUAUUGGCACAACACUGCUGCUGUCCUAGGAUGAAGCUGGGCUUGUUCCUGCUUUGUUUUCACCCUCCUGCUCUACCUCGUCUGCUGGUCAUUAUUCUUUGUAGCUGGGCUUUGUAUUUACUUUUCAUUUUUUAAGAAAAAAGAUAAAGAUUAAACCCCUUUAAGACGACUUUUAUGAGGAAUCCUAAUUCUUAGUCUGUUUGCUGACAAAUUAUAUAAUAUUGACCUUUCUCUUGCCUUCACUGGAUGUUGAUUUUUCUUCCAUUUCCUGGUGUGGAAGUUGCACACCCCUUACCUUGCGUUUUUAACUUAAAAGCGAUACAGUUUUAGGGGAACGUAAGAUUGCCUUGAAAAAGGAAACCAAUUUACUUGUCUUGGGUAAUGCCAUUCUUCCCUGUGCUUUCUGUUACUUAGUUUUUUUUUUUUUUUUGCUUGUUUUGUACUUACUUUUUUUUUUUUAUCUGAUAAAAAUGCCUUUAAAAGACUUCAGUCCAGAAGUACUGCUCCUAACCAGAGGAACUGGGAAAGUUACAUGUGUGAGUUCAGAAAGGUUUUGAGGAAUAGAAAAGGUUUGAGUCCCCUUUAAAGACUUAAAUCAAAGAUCUUGAGUACCAGAGCGAUCUGUGGCUGUGUUUAUCAGUGGGGGAAAUACCCGAGGUACAUACUGAACGGAAGCAUGAGUGCUGGCACCAGGCUCAGCAAAAGAGCAAACCUCGGCAGUUCCCAUUCGUCAUCUGCAUCAUCAGCCAUCAGUCCUUCAGCACGUCUGUGACGCUGUCCUGGUUCCUGCUGUUGCCCAAGAAGUAAGAGCCCCACGAAGCUGCUGCUGUGGAUUUGAAUCUUUGUACUCGAACUGCACGGCCUCCUGGGGGCCCUCCUGUCUGGGGAGUCACUGGCGCAUUCUGGGCAUCUCAAUUUCUGUAGGAAAGAAACAUACCUGAAUCCAUGACGGUUCCUUAUAUCCCUAGUAAAUCAGCAAUAUCUUAAAGAUGGCUCUGGAUACAUUAUAUUGAAUUAAAUUAAAAAUGUGGAGAAUAACAGACUGAAACUCAUGAAAAAUGCUGUUGCUUUCUGCAGGACGUGUUUGUUUUUAUGGCUUUCUUUGGUGGGUUGAGCAGCCCUCUUAUCCUUUCAGUAGUCUCAGCUUUAUGUCAGUUUAUAUAUUCCGUGUUUUAUGGAUCACUGGAAGAUAAUUCUGUUGUUUUCUAUUAGACCUUUAGUAAAUAAAAUGUCAGGGUUUUUUUCCGGUGCUGCAGAGGCCAGUAUCCAGCUGGUAUAUCAAUUCCUGUCAGUGCCUUGCCUUCUUGUUUGUUCCGGGGAUUCUCUUGUUUUCACAUUGGUUUAAAUCAUUAAUCCUGAUCGUAUUUUUCACAGAAUAAAAAUACUUGUUUCAAAAGCGUA
This is a long non-coding RNA of Anas platyrhynchos (mallard), 2442 nucleotides long. RefSeq lists it as uncharacterized. NCBI's taxonomy places the organism in Eukaryota, Metazoa, Chordata, Aves, Anseriformes, Anatidae. The record is from RefSeq and is a predicted model, not a curated record.